Molecule: ribosomal RNA, 484 nt
Filed under: uncultured bacterium
Lineage: Bacteria
Description: partial 16S ribosomal RNA
Rfam family: Bacterial small subunit ribosomal RNA
Source: RNAcentral
AUUGAACGCUGGCGGAAUGCUUUACACAUGCAAGUCGAGCGGCAGCGCGGCCUUCGGGCUGGCGGCGAGCGGCGAACGGGUGAGUAAUGCAUCGGAACAUGCCCAGUCGUGGGGGAUAACACUUCGAAAGAAGUGCUAAUACCGCAUACGUCCUGAGGGGGAAAGCGGGGGAUCGCAAGACCUCGCGCGAUUGGAGUGGCCGAUGUCAGAUUAGCUAGUUGGUGGGGUAAAGGCCUACCAAGGCGACGAUCUGUAGCUGGUCUGAGAGGAUGAUCAGCCACACUGGGACUGAGACACGGCCCAGACUCCUACGGGAGGCAGCAGUGGGGAAUUUUGGACAAUGGGGGCAAGCCUGAUCCAGCCAUGCCGCGUGAGUGAAGAAGGCCUUCGGGUUGUAAAGCUCUUUCGGCAGGAACGAAACGGUGGGCUCUAACAUAGUCCGCUAAUGACGGUACCUGAAGAAGAAGCACCGGCUAACUACGUG